CGGCUAUUCCUGGUUGAUUUUGAUUGAGAGGAAACAUCACUAUCACUCAUGUCCACACUACAACUUUCAUCAGAGUUGGUUUUAUGAAAGCUUGGAGAUUUCUGGUGACGGCGUGCGGAAUUAGUCAUCUGUGAAUUUUAUAAUUUGAAAUAAAGAAUCAGCUAAGGUAGAAUUAAUAAAUUGGUAAAGAGAAGAUUCAGUUAACAGUAACUUGAACAUUUCAGUACGGAUGUAGCAGUUUGGGUCGUUGAUUAGUUUACUAUGUUAGUUUACUAUGCAGAAUCCUUUCUGCCAGAUCUUGUUAGUCACUAGGUUAGUUUACUAUGCUGAAUACAAUUAUAGUUUUUACAACAUUUUUAAGUACCAUGUGAAAUGCAGUGGUACUGACAUUUGAUUAGUACAAUCUAAACACUAUAUCUAACAUUUCAAUAAGAAUUAUGUGCCAUCUUAUUUCAAUAACCAUUGACACUCUGAACUUCAAAAUUGUGUUUCAAUGAAAACAGAAAUUUUGUAGAAUAGGAAUUUCACUAGCACGAUCAGAUUCAUAUUAAGGGUAAUAAAUAACAUAUUUCAAUCACAGUUUCUGUACCAAGAAACUAUUUCAGUUCGAACAUCUCAGUACUAAUGAGCUCCACCAUUUUCGAAUAUACACAUGGGGAUCUAGGGUUAGAGAAGCAAAGCAUUUAUAAAAUCCCGAAUGUAGGUUUGGACCAGUCGGAUUUCUACAUAUCUUUCCCAAGUUAACUAAAUCUAGAAACUCCAAACGAAGAUGAGUAGCCAAAGUAAUGAGUAAAUGAAGAUGGAUAGCUAACCUUGAUGGACUAAUGAGGGCAGACGAACAGGGCGGCGGAAGGCAGCCAGUCGACGGGGAGGAAAUGAGCCCGGUGAGCCGCGAAGAAAGCGGCCCGGCCGCGGAGCC
This 919-nucleotide long non-coding RNA is filed under the name Triticum aestivum (bread wheat). RNAcentral describes it as "long non-coding RNA (TAES_LNC025308)". The record is from RNAcentral. Lineage: Eukaryota; Viridiplantae; Streptophyta; Magnoliopsida; Poales; Poaceae.